UUAAGCGACUAAGCGUACACGGUGGAUGCCCUGGCAGUCAGAGGCGAUGAAGGACGUGCUAAUCUGCGAAAAGCGUCGGUAAGGUGAUAUGAACCGUUAUAGCCGGCGAUGUCCGAAUGGGGAAACCCAGUGCAAUUCGUUGCACUAUCGUUAACUGAAUACAUAGGUUAACGAGGCGAACCGGGGGAACUGAAACAUCUAAGUACCCCGAGGAAAAGAAAUCAACCGAGAUUCCCCCAGUAGCGGCGAGCGAACGGGGAGCAGCCCGGAGUCUGAAUCAGCUUGUGUGUUAGUGGAAGCGUCUGGAAAGUCGCAGGGUACAGGGUGAUACUCCCGUACACUAAAACGCACAGGUUGUGAACUCGAAGAGUAGGGCGGGACACGUGGUAUCCUGUCUGAAUAUGGGGGGACCAUCCUCCAAGGCUAAAUACUCCUGACUGACCGAUAGUGAACCAGUACCGUGAGGGAAAGGCGAAAAGAACCCCGGCGAGGGGAGUGAAAAAGAACCUGAAACCGUGUACGUACAAGCAGUAGGAGCCCACUAGUUGGGUGACUGCGUACCUUUUGUAUAAUGGGUCAGCGACUUAUAUUCUGUAGCAAGGUUAACCGUAUAGGGGAGCCGCAGGGAAACCGAGUCUUAACUGGGCGUUAAGUUGCAGGGUAUAGACCCGAAACCCGGUGAUCUAGCCAUGGGCAGGUUGAAGGUUGGGUAACACUAACUGGAGGACCGAACCGACUAAUGUUGAAAAAUUAGCGGAUGACUUGUGGCUGGGGGUGAAAGGCCAAUCAAACCGGGAGAUAGCUGGUUCUCCCCGAAAGCUAUUUAGGUAGCGCCUCGUGAACUCAUCUUCGGGGGUAGAGCACUGUUUCGGCUAGGGGGUCAUCCCGACUUACCAACCCGAUGCAAACUACGAAUACCGAAGAAUGUUAUCACGGGAGACACACGGCGGGUGCUAACGUCCGUCGUGAAGAGGGAAACAACCCAGACCGCCAGCUAAGGUCCCAAAGUCAUGGUUAAGUGGGAAACGAUGUGGGAAGGCCCAGACAGCCAGGAUGUUGGCUUAGAAGCAGCCAUCAUUUAAAGAAAGCGUAAUAGCUCACUGGUCGAGUCGGCCUGCGCGGAAGAUGUAACGGGGCUAAACCAUGCACCGAAGCUGCGGCAGCGACACUAUGUGUUGUUGGGUAGGGGAGCGUUCUGUAAGCCGUUGAAGGUGGCCUGUGAGGGUUGCUGGAGGUAUCAGAAGUGCGAAUGCUGACAUAAGUAACGAUAAUGCGGGUGAAAAACCCGCACGCCGGAAGACCAAGGGUUCCUGUCCAACGUUAAUCGGGGCAGGGUGAGUCGACCCCUAAGGCGAGGCCGAAAGGCGUAGUCGAUGGGAAACAGGUUAAUAUUCCUGUACUCGGUGUUACUGCGAAGGGGGGACGGAGAAGGCUAUGUUGGCCGGGCGACGGUUGUCCCGGUUUAAGCAUGUAGGCGGAUGUUCCAGGUAAAUCCGGAGCGUCACUAACGCUGAGGUGUGAUGACGAGGCACUACGGUGCUGAAGUGACAAAUGCCCUGCUUCCAGGAAAAGCCUCUAAGCAUCAGGUAACAUCAAAUCGUACCCCAAACCGACACAGGUGGUCAGGUAGAGAAUACCAAGGCGCUUGAGAGAACUCGGGUGAAGGAACUAGGCAAAAUGGUGCCGUAACUUCGGGAGAAGGCACGCUGAUGGUAGGUGAAGCGACUUGCUCGUGGAGCUGAAAUCAGUCGAAGAUACCAGCUGGCUGCAACUGUUUAUUAAAAACACAGCACUGUGCAAACACGAAAGUGGACGUAUACGGUGUGACGCCUGCCCGGUGCCGGAAGGUUAAUUGAUGGGGUUAUCCGUAAGGAGAAGCUCUUGAUCGAAGCCCCGGUAAACGGCGGCCGUAACUAUAACGGUCCUAAGGUAGCGAAAUUCCUUGUCGGGUAAGUUCCGACCUGCACGAAUGGCGUAAUGAUGGCCAGGCUGUCUCCACCCGAGACUCAGUGAAAUUGAACUCGCUGUGAAGAUGCAGUGUACCCGCGGCAAGACGGAAAGACCCCGUGAACCUUUACUAUAGCUUGACACUGAACACUGGUCCUUGAUGUGUAGGAUAGGUGGGAGGCUUUGAAGUGUGGACGCCAGUCUGCAUGGAGCCAUCCUUGAAAUACCACCCUUUAAUGGCUGGUGUUCUAACGUGGGCCCCUGAUCGGGGUUGCGGACAGUGUCUGGUGGGUAGUUUGACUGGGGCGGUCUCCUCCUAAAGAGUAACGGAGGAGCACGAAGGUCAGCUAAUCCUGGUCGGACAUCAGGAGGUUAGUGCAAUGGCAUAAGCUGGCUUGACUGCGAGCGUGACGGCGCGAGCAGGUGCGAAAGCAGGUCAUAGUGAUCCGGUGGUUCUGAAUGGAAGGGCCAUCGCUCAACGGAUAAAAGGUACUCCGGGGAUAACAGGCUGAUACCGCCCAAGAGUUCAUAUCGACGGCGGUGUUUGGCACCUCGAUGUCGGCUCAUCACAUCCUGGGGCUGAAGUAGGUCCCAAGGGUAUGGCUGUUCGCCAUUUAAAGUGGUACGCGAGCUGGGUUUAGAACGUCGUGAGACAGUUCGGUCCCUAUCUGCCGUGGGCGCUGGAGAAUUGAGGGGGGCUGCUCCUAGUACGAGAGGACCGGAGUGGACGCAUCACUGGUGUUCGGGUUGUCAUGCCAAUGGCAUUGCCCGGUAGCUAAAUGCGGAAGAGAUAAGUGCUGAAAGCAUCUAAGCACGAAACUUGCCCCGAGAUGAGUUCUCCCUGACUCCCUGAGAGUCCUGAAGGAACGUUGAAGACGACGACGUUGAUAGGCCGGGUGUGUAAGCGCAGCGAUGCGUUGAGCUAACCGGUACUAAUGAACCGUGAGGCUUAACCUU
Molecule: ribosomal RNA, 2904 nt
Filed under: Klebsiella oxytoca
Lineage: Bacteria; Pseudomonadati; Pseudomonadota; Gammaproteobacteria; Enterobacterales; Enterobacteriaceae
Also listed under: 1 other name
Description: bacterial LSU rRNA
Rfam family: Bacterial large subunit ribosomal RNA
Source: RNAcentral